RNA transcript from Malaya genurostris, 2611 nucleotides. It is a transcript of the gene named isocitrate dehydrogenase [NAD] subunit gamma, mitochondrial, with no coding region annotated. Lineage: Eukaryota; Metazoa; Arthropoda; Insecta; Diptera; Culicidae. The record is from RefSeq and is a predicted model, not a curated record. The transcript has 7 exons.
UUCUGACACGGGUGGUGUUUUUAUAGUUUUUACUCAAAGUUCGUUGUGCCCUAGGACGGUAGGGUUCUUGUGCAAAGCAAAUUCGCAAAUUUCACCCAUUCAAAAAGCACAUAAUCGAACAUGGCACUUCGUUUGUUCCGUCUCAGUCAGGAUGUGGUUACGCCACUAAUAAAACGGGGUUGUGCCGUGUCUGCAUUCGAGCUACAGCACAAGAAUCCGAUCCAGCGUAAGGUGGAGCAGGUUCCGGUGGCACAGUAUGGUGGACGACAUACGGUGACCAUGCUACCGGGCGGUGGUAUCGGCCCGGAACUGAUGAAUUACGUUAGGGAGGUGUUUCGGUUUGCCGGUGUACCGGUUGACUUCGAAAUCGUGGAUAUUGAUCCGGCAAGCGAAGGAAACGAAGACCUGGAGUACGCAAUCACAUCGAUCAAGCGGAACGGUGUGGCCAUCAAGGGUAACAUUGAAACGAAGUCCGAAUCGACCGGAAUUAUUUCGCGUAAUGUGGCCCUAAGGAACGAGCUGGAUUUGUUCGUGAAUGUGUUGCACUGCAAGUCGUUCAAUGCCAUUCCGGCCCAUCAUCAGAACGUGGAUGUGGUCAUCGUCCGACAGAAUACGGAGGGCGAGUAUGCCAUGCUGGAGCACGAGAGCGUACGCGGUGUGGUGGAGAGUAUGAAGGUGAUAACGGCGGAGAAUGCGGCCCGAGUGGCACGAUUCGCGUUCGAGUUUGCUCGCAACAACAACCGCAAGAAGGUGACGACCAUUCACAAGGCCAACAUUAUGAAGCUGGCUGACGGUAUGUUUUUGAAAAUGGCCCGCGAAGUUGCCAAAGACUACCCGGACCUUCAGCAUAACGAUAUGAUUAUCGACAAUUGCUGUAUGCAGCUGGUUUCCAACCCGCACCAGUUCGACGUGAUGAACACGACCAACCUGUACGGCAGUAUCACGUCUAAUGUGCUGUGCGGUUUGGUCGGUGGAGCUGGUUUGUUCUCCGGCCGGAACUAUGGCGAUCAUUAUGCUGUUUUCGAACCGGGUACUCGCAACACCGGCACCAGCAUCGCCGGUAAGAACGUGGCCAACCCGGUGGCCAUGCUGAACGCUGCCGUCGAUAUGCUGUACCAUUUGGGUCAUCGGUAUCACGCCGAUAGCAUCUCGGAUGCGAUUCACAAGACCAUCGACGUCGACGGAAUCCACACGCCAGAUUUGGGUGGUCAAAAUACCAGCUCGGAAAUCGUUCAGAAAGUUCUGCAGCAUCUGGCCGAGAAGAGAACUUAUUGGACACCACUUCUAGUGCAAUAAAUAAAGCAGUUUCCUAACCAAACUAGAAAGCACAUAGCAUACUAACAAUAGCAGCACCGAUAAAAAAAUCCUUCAUAUUUAGGAAGCAAUAACAUCCUUCAGCUUCCAAGUGUGUACAGCGUUCGUGGUUUAAAAAUUAAAUCCGAUUUUAGGUAUACUUCUAGGGGCUUUAACGCAUCAAUCUUUGUACCGUCGGGAGAGCUUCCGUUUCCGGUGCAACCGUCGAGUUGGUGAUGAGACGCUGUGAACCCUCAACGUAAUCCCACAUCCGUCACAUUGACAAUGAAUAAAAAAAAACCCUUGUACUUACUAUUUUGCGUAUUAACAGUCAACAUUUCUCCUCUCCGAUGCCAUCUAAUUUGCCCUCAGUAACCAGUGCAAAGAAAGCUUAACCGAUAGACCCGUUUUUUUUUGCAUUUUGAACGUUUUUCACCGACAUCACCGAAUGGGCAAAAGCUUUGCUUAAUUUGCAUGAUCAAUAAGUUCUCAUUUUUGUUCAUGUUUCGUUUCGUCAUAACAAAAAAAAACACACACACACCAAUCCAAAGGCGAAGGCAUCAAAGUGACCGUUGACAAUCGCACCCCUGCGUUGGUGUUUGUUUUUGUUUGGAAACGGUAGGCAAGAUUUCGUUAAGAGGAGAAUCUCACGACUGCGUCCCGCCUCCAUCCCAGCCUAAUUCGUUAUGUUCUAUUUAUAUUCAGUUACGGAAGCGUAAAACAAGCUUACUCUCAGCACCUUCAAAAUCGUGUAGCGCCAGUACACGAGGUGAGUUUACAAAAAAAAAACGACACCAACAAAACAACGGAACUAUGCAUAAAACAAAACCCAGGUAAGCAGCAGCCAUCCACCCAACUGACGACGGGGUGGAUGCAAGCUGCAAAGUUUCAUAAAUAAAUCAUCGUGACUAGUAGCAGGAUGGAGGGUGCUUGCUAGUUUACCGGAAAUGGAAGUGAAAUGUCACCGAGAAUAAUCACUACGAACAGUCCCUGACUGCCCCUAGCCCAAGUAGCAGGAGUAAUUCUUCGAGUUCUUCGUUGCUGGUGGUGGCUUUUCUGCCAACGGAAUCAUUAUAACCGUUUUUUUUUUGAAGCAGUCGAGUGUUGUUUAGCUUGCCUCUUGAAGCUUUCCGUGCUAUUAUCAUUUUUUUCUUCUUUAUACUCUAGAGAUACCAACUGUUGCGAAUGAAUCGUUUUGUUUUUAGGACUAACAUUAUCUGAGAAAAAGAUUACAACUCGUAUUCAACAUGUCAAUCUUUUUUUUUUAUACUGUACAAACUCAAUUUAAUGCGAUCGUUUCGUUUGACAAUAUCGUUAA